AAUGGUGGCCCCACAGCGUGUGGGCCACAAGGGGCCUCGAUGGUGGACAUUGUUAUCCCCACUGCUUGCUGUAAUGUGGUCCGCAUGAGCUUUGAAUAUGCUUUAGUUUUGGGCUUGGUCCCAUUCUCUAAAAUGAGCUGUUCAAAAUUGAUGGACGGUGUAACACACAUGCAUCAUGGUGGGCCCCACAAUCCAAAUGGGCUAUCAAAGCUGAUCAGUAACAAGGAUAAGACACAUGCAUUAAGGUGGCUGAAUCCAAUAGUGGUCCACAAAGUGGAUGGUUGUGCGUUGUCCACAUAGCCUAUACCUCACGGUGGGCCUUGUAAGGUUUUAACGAUGGGCCCCACUGCAUGUGGGCUGAGGAAAGUUCCAAUGGUGGACCCCACUACAUGUGGACCCCAAGGAGGCCUUGACGGUGGACAUCAUUAUUCUCUAUGCUUGUUGUAGUGUGAUCCACAUGAGCUUUGAAUAUGCUUUAGUUUUGGGCUUGAUCCCAUGCUCUAAAAUGAGCUGUCCAAAAUUGAUGGAUGGUGUGAGUAAGCCACAUGCAUCAUGGUGGGCCCCAUAGCCCAAAAUCGGCCAUCAAAGCUGAUGGGUAACAAGGAUAAAAUACAUACAUUUGGGUGGCCCAAUCCAAUGGCAGUCCACCAAGUGGAUGGAUGACCGAAUAAUCUCGUACAUCAUAUGGGCCGAUCCAAGUGGUGAUCCACCUAAAAUGGAAAAUGGGAAAUUUUAGCCAGAGAUUCUCACUUUUGUAGAGUCAUCAUUAGAUAGCAUUCAUGCCAUGUUGAGGGCAUACUUGGAGAGAGGAGCCUUAAUGGCUUUCAUGCAUUGAUAUAAGGGAUGAGGUGGGGAUAUAUGCAUUGGUUGUUGAUGAGGUGGAGGGGGGAGAGAAUAAGUGAAGAGUGUAGAGGGAUAUAUAAGGUUUGGAUGAAGUAAGAUAAAUGGAUAGUGUAGGAACAUGGAUAGGGCUCUUGGACUUUAGUGGUCUAUGGGUUUGACCCAGUCAAAGGCUCACCCAUAAAACGAUGAUGUGUAAAUUGGUGCUCAUAAUGGUCGGUGGUGUGGAAAGUAAGGUCAACACUUCCUUAGGUUGGUCAACAUUUCAUAAAAAGGCCUUUGUGUUUGAGAGUAUAUGGAGUGUUUUUGAGCUGCCCCAUUGAGUGAUGAGUGCGAUCACAAGUGUCCAAGAGGGGUGUGGGGCAUGCGCAGAAUAAUUCUUAUAUAUUCAGGGAAAAAUAAAAAUCAUUCUAUUAAAGAAGGGGUUUUCAACUGCCAAAUAGAUGUCCUACGUACCAUGUAAGCAAGGAAAAUGUGGAACAUUUUUUCUUUCAGACCUCUUUGGCUUAUAGUUUGUGAGUUAUGCUGCCCAAGAUUGGGGUAUCUUGGGUGCAACCUUGGAGCACUGGGGUGAAGCUCUGAUGGCGUGGUGUAUUCUACACUGCACUUGUGAAUGGAGUAGCAAAAUAUAGGCUUUCUUUGGGGUCGAAAUUGGUGUGGAGAUUGGAUGACUGCAAGGGGCUUGCUCUAGCUGGGCUGGAAUCCUAUCAUCAGGCUGGGGAACUCCAUCCUUUAUAUAUAAGACGCUGAAUUAACUCACCAUUUGAUUACUUGUGUACAUUAUCACUCAUGCCUGAAUUUUUGAAUUUUGAUCUUAUUUAUAUACAACAUACCGACAAUGGACGUGCAUUUUCAGCUGUUUUCCGCUUUCAUUCUUCUAUAUUUUGGCUUUUUUGUUUCUUUGACCAUGUUUUUUACCGUAUUUUUAAUGAUUGAAACCAAAUUAAUUGUGUACAUUUUGUGCCAUUGUUUACCGUUUGUGAUUUGCAAGAGUUGAUUAUUGCUGAAUCCAGAGUCUGUGUGGUCAGAGGUUUUUUUUUUUUCAAGUCAAGUCCAGAUUGUUAUGAUCAGGGUACGUCAUAUUGUGCUUUUCUUUAUUAUUUUUUUCAUUUACUGCUCAGCCCGCCCACCUAGCUUCCAUGCGAGAGAAGGCUGCAUACAUCAAUCCAUGUGAACCAGUUGCUUUUGAUCCCAUGUCUUGUGGGUCCAUUGGCAUGUUCAAUCUGUUGCUUUUUCGUUUUCUAUUUUUUAAGCUAGGUGGUAAUAUUUAGUGCAUGAACAUUCUUCAUGGGAUAGCAGUAUGUAAUUCAACUCUAUGCUUAGCUUCAUGGACGAUUUUUUGACCCCUAAGUGAAUUAUGACAUGUGUUCAUGGGUUUAAAAAUCUAUUUUGGCUCAAUUGUAUUGUAUGCCAUGUUCUAAUAUAGAAUAUUGUUGUUGCUCAUGGAUGAUACCGGUACAUAUCGGCCAAUACUAUGCCACAGGCCUGCUCUAUGACUCCUUUUUUGUUUGCAAUCAGGGGUCUAGUGUUGGCACAAGAAUGUGAUUCCAAAUAAGGGAUGACCCAGCGAUGGAAAAGAAGAUUUAGGCACCCUCCUCUGCAGUACAGAAGUGUGGUCUCUACUCAGUGGGAUACAUGAGAUUUUUGGAGGAUUAAAAAGCUCUAUCAAUGUUCAGUGCUUGUGAUA
Long non-coding RNA from Magnolia sinica, 2527 nucleotides. RefSeq lists it as uncharacterized. Lineage: Eukaryota; Viridiplantae; Streptophyta; Magnoliopsida; Magnoliales; Magnoliaceae. The transcript has 2 exons. The record is from RefSeq and is a predicted model, not a curated record.